This 616-nucleotide ribosomal RNA is filed under the name uncultured cyanobacterium. RNAcentral describes it as "bacterial SSU rRNA". It matches the Rfam family "Bacterial small subunit ribosomal RNA", at positions 122 to 770 of the family's 1533-position model. The record is from RNAcentral. Lineage: Bacteria; Bacillati; Cyanobacteriota.
GAAUCUGGCUUCGGGUUCGGGACAACAGUGGGAAACUGCUGCUAAUACCGGAUGUGCCGCAAGGUAAAAGAUUAAUUGCCCGAAGAUGAGCUCGCGUCCGAUUAGCUAGUUGGUGUGGUAAGAGCGCACCAAGGCGUCGAUCGGUAGCUGGUCUGAGAGGACGAUCAGCCACACUGGGACUGAGACACGGCCCAGACUCCUACGGGAGGCAGCAGUGGGGAAUUUUCCGCAAUGGGCGAAAGCCUGACGGAGCAAUACCGCGUGAGGGAGGAAGGCUCUUGGGUUGUAAACCUCUUUUCUCAGGGAAGAACACAAUGACGGUACCUGAGGAAUCAGCAUCGGCUAACUCCGUGCCAGCAGCCGCGGUAAUACGGAGGAUGCAAGCGUUAUCCGGAAUUAUUGGGCGUAAAGCGUCCGUAGGUGGCUCGUCAAGUCUGCGGUCAAAGACCGGGGCUCAACCCUGGAAAGGCCGUGGAAACUGGUGAGCUAGAGUGCGGUAGGGGCAGAGGGAAUUCCCAGUGUAGCGGUGAAAUGCGUAGAGAUUGGGAAGAACACCGGUGGCGAAAGCGCUCUGCUGGGCCGCAACUGACACUAAUGGACGAAAGCUAGGGGAGCG